Molecule: ribosomal RNA, 257 nt
Filed under: uncultured bacterium
Lineage: Bacteria
Description: partial 16S ribosomal RNA
Rfam family: Bacterial small subunit ribosomal RNA
Source: RNAcentral
UACGAAGGUGGCAAGCGUUGUUCGGAUUUACUGGGCGUAAAGGGAGCGUAGGUGGUUAGGUAAGCCCUCCGGGAAAUCUUCAGGCUUAACCUGAAAAGGUCGGGGGGGACUGCCUAGCUAGAGGGCGGGAGAGGAGCGGCGGAAUUCCCGGUGUAGCGGUGAAAUGCGUAGAGAUCGGGAGGAAGGCCGGUGGCGAAGGCGGCGCUCUGGAACGUUUCUGACACUGAGGCUCGGAAAGCGUGGGGGAGCAAACAGGG